UCAGGCCUAACACAUGCAAGUCGAGCGGCAGCACGGGUACUUGUACCUGGUGGCGAGCGGCGGACGGGUGAGUAAUACCUAGGAAUCUGCCUGGUAGUGGGGGAUAACGUUCGGAAACGGACGCUAAUACCGCAUACGUCCUACGGGAGAAAGGGGGGGAUCUUCGGACCUCUCGCUAUGAGAUGAGCCCAAGUCGGAUUAGCUAGUUGGUGGGGUAAAGGCUCACCAAGGCUACGAUCCGUAGCUGGUCUGAGAGGAUGAUCAGCCACACUGGAACUGAGACACGGUCCAGACUCCUACGGGAGGCAGCAGUGGGGAAUAUUGGACAAUGGGGGAAACCCUGAUCCAGCCAUGCCGCGUGUGUGAAGAAGGCCUUAGGGUUGUAAAGCACUUUAAGCGAGGAGGAAGGGCUUCGGGUUAAUACCUUGAAGCAUUGACGUUACUCGCAGAAUAAGCACCGGCUAACUCUGUGCCAGCAGCCGCGGUAAU
Molecule: ribosomal RNA, 489 nt
Filed under: uncultured soil bacterium
Lineage: Bacteria
Description: bacterial SSU rRNA
Rfam family: Bacterial small subunit ribosomal RNA
Source: RNAcentral